CCUACGGGUGGCUGCAGUGGGGAAUAUUGGACAAUGGGCGAAAGCCUGAUCCAGCCAUGCCGCGUGUGUGAAGAAGGCCUUCGGGUUGUAAAGCACUUUCAGUGGGGAAGAAAGCCUUGGGGCUAAUACCCUCGAGGAAGGACAUUACCCACAGAAGAAGCACCGGCUAACUCCGUGCCAGCAGCCGCGGUAAUACGGAGGGUGCGAGCGUUAAUCGGAAUUACUGGGCGUAAAGCGCGCGUAGGCGGUCUGAUAAGCCGGUUGUGAAAGCCCCGGGCUCAACCUGGGAACGGCAUCCGGAACUGUCAGGCUAGAGUGCAGGAGAGGAAGGUAGAAUUCCCGGUGUAGCGGUGAAAUGCGUAGAGAUCGGGAGGAAUACCAGUGGCGAAGGCGGCCUUCUGGACUGACACUGACGCUGAGGUGCGAAAGCGUGGGUAGCAAACAGGAUUAGAUACCCCAGUAGUC
Molecule: ribosomal RNA, 465 nt
Filed under: Vreelandella stevensii
Lineage: Bacteria; Pseudomonadati; Pseudomonadota; Gammaproteobacteria; Oceanospirillales; Halomonadaceae
Description: partial 16S ribosomal RNA
Rfam family: Bacterial small subunit ribosomal RNA
Source: RNAcentral